AGUGAACGCUGGCGGUAGGCCUAACACAUGCAAGUCGAACGGCAGCACAGUAAGAGCUUGCUCUUACGGGUGGCGAGUGGCGGACGGGUGAGGAAUACAUCGGAAUCUACUUUUUCGUGGGGGAUAACGUAGGGAAACUUACGCUAAUACCGCAUACGUCCUACGGGUGAAAGCAGGGGAUCUUCGGACCUUGCGCGAUUGAAUGAGCCGCUGUCGGAUUAGCUAGUUGGCGGGGUAAAGUCCCACCAAGGCGACGAUACGUAGCUGGUCUGAGCGGAUGAUCAGCCACACUGGAACUGAGACACGGUCCAGACUCCCACGGGAGGCAGCAGGGGGGAAUAUUGGACAAUGGGGGCAAGCCUGAUCCAGCCAUACCGCGUGGGUGAAGAAGGCCUUCGGGUUGUAAAGCCCUUUUGUUGGGGAAGAAAAAAAGCAGGUUAAUACCCCGCUGUUCUGACGGUACCCAAAGAAUAAGCACCGGCUAACUUCGUG
RNAcentral lists this ribosomal RNA (492 nucleotides) under uncultured bacterium. RNAcentral describes it as "partial 16S ribosomal RNA". It matches the Rfam family "Bacterial small subunit ribosomal RNA", at positions 29 to 507 of the family's 1533-position model. The record is from RNAcentral.